This 445-nucleotide ribosomal RNA is filed under the name uncultured bacterium. RNAcentral's name for it is "partial 16S ribosomal RNA". It matches the Rfam family "Bacterial small subunit ribosomal RNA", at positions 354 to 796 of the family's 1533-position model. The record is from RNAcentral.
GUGGGGAAUAUUGGGCAAUGGGCGAAAGCCUGACCCAGCAACGCCGCGUGAAGGAAGAAGGAUCUAUGGUUCGUAAACUUCUUUUGCAGGGGAAUAAAGUGCAGGACGUGUCCUGUUUUGUAUGUACCCUGAGAAUAAGGAUCGGCUAACUCCGUGCCAGCAGCCGCGGUAAUACGGAGGAUCCGAGCGUUAUCCGGAUUUAUUGGGUUUAAAGGGUGCGUAGGUGGUUUGAUAAGUCAGCGGUGAAAGUUUGCAGCUUAACUGUAAAAAUGCCGUUGAAACUGUCGGACUUGAGUGUAAAUGAGGUAGGCGGAAUGCGUGGUGUAGCGGUGAAAUGCAUAGAUAUCACGCAGAACUCCGAUUGCGAAGGCAGCUUACUAAGCUACAACUGACACUGAAGCACGAAAGCGUGGGGAUCAAACAGGAUUAGAUACCCUGGUAGUCC